AACGAACGCUGGCGGCAUGCCUAAUACAUGCAAGUCGAACGAGAUCUUCGGAUCUAGUGGCGCACGGGUGCGUAGCGCGUGGGAAUCUGCCCUUGGGUUCGGAAUAACUUCUGGAAACGGAAGCUAAUACCGGAUGAUGACGUAAGUCCAAAGAUUUAUCGCCCAAGGAUGAGCCCGCGUAGGAUUAGCUAGUUGGUGGGGUAAAGGCCCACCAAGGCGACGAUCCUUAGCUGGUCUGAGAGGAUGAUCAGCCACACUGGGACUGAGACACGGCCCAGACUCCUACGGGAGGCAGCAGUAGGGAAUAUUGGACAAUGGGCGAAAGCCUGAUCCAGCAAUGCCGCGUGAGUGAUGAAGGCCUUAGGGUUGUAAAGCUCUUUUACCCGGGAUGAUAAUGACAGUACCGGGAGAAUAAGCUCCGGCUAACUCCGUG
RNAcentral lists this ribosomal RNA (433 nucleotides) under uncultured bacterium. RNAcentral describes it as "partial 16S ribosomal RNA". It matches the Rfam family "Bacterial small subunit ribosomal RNA", at positions 29 to 507 of the family's 1533-position model. The record is from RNAcentral.